AUUGAACGCUGGCGGCAUGCCUUACACAUGCAAGUCGAACGGCAGCACGGGUGCUUGCACCUGGUGGCGAGUGGCGAACGGGUGAGUAAUACAUCGGAACAUGUCCUGUAGUGGGGGAUAGCCCGGCGAAAGCCGGAUUAAUACCGCAUACGAUCUACGGAUGAAAGCGGGGGACCUUCGGGCCUCGCGCUAUAGGGUUGGCCGAUGGCUGAUUAGCUAGUUGGUGGGGUAAAGGCCUACCAAGGCGACGAUCAGUAGCUGGUCUGAGAGGACGACCAGCCACACUGGGACUGAGACACGGCCCAGACUCCUACGGGAGGCAGCAGUGGGGAAUUUUGGACAAUGGGCGAAAGCCUGAUCCAGCAAUGCCGCGUGUGUGAAGAAGGCCUUCGGGUUGUAAAGCGCUUUUGUCCGGAAAGAAAUCCUUGGCUCUAAUACAGUCGGGGGAUGACGGUACCGGAAGAAUAAGCACCGGCUAACUACGUG
RNAcentral lists this ribosomal RNA (486 nucleotides) under uncultured bacterium. Its description in RNAcentral is "partial 16S ribosomal RNA". It matches the Rfam family "Bacterial small subunit ribosomal RNA", at positions 30 to 507 of the family's 1533-position model. The record is from RNAcentral.